This 253-nucleotide ribosomal RNA is filed under the name uncultured bacterium. Its description in RNAcentral is "partial 16S ribosomal RNA". It matches the Rfam family "Bacterial small subunit ribosomal RNA", at positions 524 to 776 of the family's 1533-position model. The record is from RNAcentral.
UACGUAGGGUGCGAGCGUUGUCCGGAAUUAUUGGGCGUAAAGGGCUCGUAGGCGGUUUGUCGCGUCGGGAGUGAAAACCUUGGGCUUAACUCAGGGCUUGCUUUCGAUACGGGCAGACUAGAGGUAUGCAGGGGAGAACGGAAUUCCUGGUGUAGCGGUGAAAUGCGCAGAUAUCAGGAGGAACACCGAUGGCGAAGGCAGGUCUCUGGGCUGUAACUGACGCUGAGGAGCGAAAGCAUGGGGAGCGAACAGG